This 68-nucleotide transfer RNA is filed under the name Phaner pallescens. RNAcentral describes it as "tRNA-Glu". The record is from RNAcentral. Lineage: Eukaryota; Metazoa; Chordata; Mammalia; Primates; Cheirogaleidae. RNAcentral also lists the same sequence under 1 other name.
GUUUUUAUAGUUGAAAUACAACGAUGGUUUUUCAUAUCAUUAGUCAUGGUUAGUCCCGUGUAAGAACU